UUACUUUUGAUCAAUGUCCAA
This is a non-coding RNA of Caenorhabditis elegans, 21 nucleotides long. Lineage: Eukaryota; Metazoa; Nematoda; Chromadorea; Rhabditida; Rhabditidae. The record is from Ensembl.